Molecule: non-coding RNA, 21 nt
Filed under: Caenorhabditis elegans
Lineage: Eukaryota; Metazoa; Nematoda; Chromadorea; Rhabditida; Rhabditidae
Source: RNAcentral
UGAACACUAUAUGUUUUGAAA